CCUACGGGAGGCAGCAGUGGGGAAUAUUGCGCAAUGGGGGAAACCCUGACGCAGCGACGCCGCGUGAGUGAUGAAGGCCCUCGGGUCGUAAAGCUCUGUCGGAAGGGAAGAACGCUUGUCGGUCAAAUAGACCGAUAGGCUGACGGUACCUUCAAAGGAAGCACCGGCUAACUCCGUGCCAGCAGCCGCGGUAAUACGGAGGGUGCAAGCGUUGCUCGGAAUCACUGGGCGUAAAGAGCGUGUAGGCGGUUUUGUAUGUCUGACGUGAAAGCCCCGGGCUUACCCUGGGAACUGCGUUGGAAACUGCAGAACUAGAGUCUCGGAGAGGGAGGUGGAAUUCCAGGUGUAGCGGUGAAAUGCGUAGAUAUCUGGAAGAACACCGGUGGCGAAGGCGACCUCCUGGACGAUGACUGACGCUGAGACGCGAAAGCGUGGGGAGCAAACAGGAUUAGAUACCCUGGUAGUCCAUGCCGUAAACGUUGGGCACUAGGUGUGGGACCUACUUAACGGGUUCCGUGCCGUAGCUAACGCAUUAAGUGCCCCGCCUGGGGAGUACGGCCGCAAGGCUAAAACUCAAAGGAAUUGACGG
Molecule: ribosomal RNA, 589 nt
Filed under: uncultured bacterium
Lineage: Bacteria
Description: bacterial SSU rRNA
Rfam family: Bacterial small subunit ribosomal RNA
Source: RNAcentral